Molecule: long non-coding RNA, 490 nt
Filed under: Elaeis guineensis (African oil palm)
Lineage: Eukaryota; Viridiplantae; Streptophyta; Magnoliopsida; Arecales; Arecaceae
Description: long non-coding RNA (EGUI_LNC066018)
Source: RNAcentral
GGCUAUCUGAAUAUAAAUCUAUGUAGUCAAGCUUGUUCCACCCACCAAUCCUCCGAGAUGACAUUAUUGAUUCUGCAAUUGGUCGAUUAUCAAUCUGUAGCUCAAGGGAAGGUUGUCCCUAACCUAAAUCACCUCGGUCUUACCGAUGGAUGAUGUAGGCACCAAAGAAGCCUUGCUUGAUGAUGUCUCAAUUUCAUUUUUUAACCAAUAAUAGUCCUCAGUAUACUCGUAGUCAUGGUGGAAGUGGCAAAACUUGCUUGUAUCCUUGCAAGCAUUCGACCUCAUCUACUUUGGACACCUAACAAACUCUUGAUUCUUGAUCUUCAUAAGAAUCUAUCUUCAAGAAGCAUUAAAAGGUAUAUACUUUUGAGCCUUUGAGGAGGAUUCCUUAUCGGCAAAAGUUCUCCCCAUCUUUGUUGAGCUUCUUAUAGGGCUCACUCAAGUCAUCACUAGUGCACUUAUUCUUUUGCUUGCUGACCUUCACAUUGCA